UAACACAUGCAAGUCGAACGGUGAAGCUCAAGCUUGCUUGGGUGGAUCAGUGGCGAACGGGUGAGUAACACGUGAGCAACCUGCCCCGGACUCUGGAAUAAGCGCUGGAAACGGCGUCUAAUACUGGAUAUGACACCAAUCCGCAUGGGUAUGGUGUGGAAAGUUUUUCGGUCUGGGAUGGGCUCGCGGCCUAUCAGCUUGUUGGUGAGGUAAUGGCUCACCAAGGCGACGACGGGUAGCCGGCCUGAGAGGGCGACCGGCCACACUGGGACUGAGACACGGCCCAGACUCCUACGGGAGGCAGCAGUGGGGAAUAUUGCACAAUGGGCGAAAGCCUGAUGCAGCGACGCCGCGUGAGGGAUGACGGCCUUCGGGUUGUAAACCUCUUUCAGCAGGGAAGAAGCGAAAGUGACGGUACCUGCAGAAGAAGCACCGGCUAACUACGUGCCAGCAGCCGCGGUAAUACGUAGGGUGCGAGCGUUGUCCGGAAUUAUUGGGCGUAAAGAGCUUGUAGGCGGUUUGUCGCGUCUGCUGUGAAAAUCCGGGGCUCAACCCCGGACUUGCAGUGGGUACGGGCAGACUAGAGUGUGGUAGGGGAGACUGGAAUUCCUGGUGUAGCGGUGAAAUGCGCAGAUAUCAGGAGGAACACCGAUGGCGAAGGCAGGUCUCUGGGCCACUACUGACGCUGAGAAGCGAAAGCAUGGGGAGCGAACAGGAUUAGAUACCCUGGUAGUCCAUGCCGUAAACGUUGGGCGCUAGGUGUGGGACUC
RNAcentral lists this ribosomal RNA (770 nucleotides) under Janibacter sp. Its description in RNAcentral is "bacterial SSU rRNA". It matches the Rfam family "Bacterial small subunit ribosomal RNA", at positions 49 to 830 of the family's 1533-position model. Lineage: Bacteria; Bacillati; Actinomycetota; Actinomycetes; Micrococcales; Intrasporangiaceae. The record is from RNAcentral.